UACAGAGACUGCAAGCGUUAUUCGGAUUCACUGGGCGUAAAGGGUGCGUAGGUGGUUUGUUAAGUUGGAUGUGAAAUCCCCGGGCUCAACCUGGGAACUGCAUUCAAAACUGACAAGCUAGAGUAUGGUAGAGGGUGGUGGAAUUUCCUGUGUAGCGGUGAAAUGCGUAGAUAUAGGAAGGAACACCAGUGGCGAAGGCGACCACCUGGACUGAUACUGACACUGAGGUGCGAAAGCGUGGGGAGCAAACAGGAUUAGAUACCCUAGUAGU
This 271-nucleotide ribosomal RNA is filed under the name uncultured bacterium. Its description in RNAcentral is "partial 16S ribosomal RNA". It matches the Rfam family "Bacterial small subunit ribosomal RNA", at positions 524 to 794 of the family's 1533-position model. The record is from RNAcentral.